GGAAGGGUGCUCCGAAUGGUAAGGAACUGGUCUUGAAAACCAGCGCUCAGCAAUGGGCUUGUGGGUUCGAGUCCCACCCCUUCCG
This is a non-coding RNA of Candidatus Blackburnbacteria bacterium, 85 nucleotides long. NCBI's taxonomy places the organism in Bacteria, Candidatus Blackburniibacteriota. The record is from Rfam.